This is an RNA transcript of Metopolophium dirhodum (rose-grain aphid), 3255 nucleotides long. It is a transcript of the gene named nicastrin, with no coding region annotated. The record is from RefSeq and is a predicted model, not a curated record. The transcript is spliced from 14 exons. NCBI's taxonomy places the organism in Eukaryota, Metazoa, Arthropoda, Insecta, Hemiptera, Aphididae.
GCCCAUACUACCAAUUUAAUAUCAUACUAUCAUAAGUGGUGAAAAAUUGUGAAUUCAGAAAUUAUUGUGAUUAACGAUCAUGAUAUUUAUUAUUUAUUUAUGUGAAAUAAAAAUUGAAAUGUUGAAUUGAUGAAAAUAUUUCAAUAAAAAGAAAUGUAGUUUAAAUUGUUCGCUGUUGGAACUAUUUUGAUUGUAUUCUUCUGUUAUUCUAAAAUAAACAAAAUGAUUAGUGUACGUCUCGUUUCAUUUGUAUGUUUGCAUUUUGCGACUUUUACACUAUUAAAUUGUCUUUCGGUCAAAGAUCAAAUGUAUGCUAACAUCAUAGCGGAUAACCCAUGUUUUCUUAGACUAAAUGGAACAAACCAAUUUGGGUGUACUUCUUCAAGAUUUGGAAAUGUUGGAACUUUACAUUUGGUGUCAAAUUCAACUGAUUUAAAUUGGUUAUUUAAUGAAGGAAAGGCUAAUCCUUACACUGUAGCAUUAACACCAAAAAUGUUUAAUAGAGAGGUUUUACAAAGCAUUGAAUUGAGUGCUAAAGUAAAUGGUAUAAUGUUACUAAUGAACGGUACUGAACAAGAAGUAAUAAAUAAUGAUAAUUUACAAAAUACUGGAUUUAGCCCAGAAGAUACAUGUCCUAACCGUUAUUCAGAUGUUAAUAGUUGUCCAACAAAACCAUGGAAUCCUUAUGGUACUGAUAUUCUUUUAAAAAGUUGGAGUUUUCCAAUAUUUGUUGUUUACGAUCAAAACACUAUCAAAGAUAUUAUAGAUUGCUUUAAAAAUCAUAAUUUACCUUUAAAUAAUCAAAAUGAUCAAUCUUUAUGUGCUCUUGAAUUGAAAUCUCAUAUGUAUGCUGCUGUAGAUUCCAAAACGUGUUUGAGGCGAACAAUGAUGACAUACCAAAAUAUAAGACCAAUUAAAUUUUGUGAUCCGCUGGGUGAUAAGAAUGUGUAUUGGUCUCUAAAAGAACUACGUCCAAAUACACCAGAUCAAUCUAUUGCUAUUGUUGCUGCACGGUUGGAUGCUACAUCUAUGUUUCAGGAUUUAGCUCCUGGUGCUAUGUCAACAGCUACAUCAAUUGUGACGUUAAUGGCAACUGCUAAUUUAAUUUCAGAAAUGCUUUCUUACAAUGAUGCCAACAACUACGCUCGGAAUAUUAUGUUUAUUUUAUUUAAUGGAGAAGCUUAUGAUUAUAUUGGAUCAAGUCGAGUGGUCUAUGAUAUGUUAGACGGAAAUUUCCCAAAUGAUUUGAUUAAACUCAAUCAUAGUCAUAUUGGCUUGUUUGUAGAGUUAUCACAAAUACACUAUGAUAAAGAAGUGGUUUUUUAUCGUCCAAUCAAAAAUAAUGCUAGUGAAAAUGUAAUAAAUUUCAUGAAUUUAUUUAAUAAGAGUCUUUCUGAUGAUAGUUUUUCUGUUACUGAAUCAAAAAGCACAUCUAUACCACCAUCAUCACUACAUUCUUUUUUGAAAAUUGAUCCCAAAUUUCCGGGUAUAAUAUUAACAGGAUUUAGAGACCAAUUUAAAAAUAAGUUUUAUCAUAGCAUUUUGGAUGAUGCAGAGAAUAUACAAUAUGGUAAUAAUUCUACAAUUCCACAAACCAUAGCUAAUAUAUCAACUUCUCUUAGUAACUCCCUUUAUACAUUUAUUACUAACUCUACCUACACUGGUUUGAAGCAAGCAAAUUCUAGUUAUGUUACCAAAUUAUUAGAUUGUUAUGUUAAGUCUAUGAAUUGUGAAGUAUUUCAAUCAUUGACUUCACCACUGCAUUUACCUGACAAUCCGCCUAAUUAUUAUAUCAGUAUAGAUUUGAUCACAAAUACUAUCACUAGUCUUUCACGCCUAUUAUUUGCUUCUUUUGGGAGUAAAAUAAUUAAUGAAGUUCAAAAUGAAGAAAAUUGUCUGAACUAUAGAACGAAACAGGGCUUUAUGCCUAUAUGGUUAAGAGGAAAAUAUAAUGCGUGUUAUUCAACAACAUCUAAUGUUACUGAUGCAGUUAGCCCAGCGUUUAUUAUACCUGAUUAUAAUUUAUCAUCUCCAAAAUAUUCAACAUGGACUGAAUCUGUAUGGCAUGAAGUGCAAAUUCGUAUGUUUCUUAGGCAAUCGUUUAAACUACAAAUUAUAAUAUUUGUACUUGGAAUUUUAAUAUUUUUAUUUUCUUUCAUCAUAAUAAAAAAAAUGUAUGAUCAAUCUGGAAUUAAUUUCAAUAACCAAGAUUUAUUUGCGAAUUUGAAAAAGUAUGAUAGUCAGUAAAAUCCUACAGAGUUAAAAUAUAGAAAUGAGUAUUAAAGUUUGAGGUCUAUAAGCAUUUCUCGAAUUGUUUAAGGAUAAUGAAAUACCUAUCGGGUUUUAUAAAAAUAGAGUCCAUUCAGUAACAAAUUUUUGAAAAGAAUUCCUACAAGUAAUAUUUUUUAUAACAGUUGUCUGUGAUUUAUUUUAUGUAAUUUUAUGUUUUGGUUUCUAUCUUACAAAUAUCUACUACUUUUUUUUUAUAAUUAAUUUGUAUAUUUUUAUUAAUAAUAAUUUUUUAAUUUAUGUAAUUUUUUUAAAAUCAUAUUAUUGACAAAAUAUUUGUUUAAAAUUUACUUUUUAAUAACAAAAAUAUUUACUUAAUUAUUGUUAUUAUGAUUGUCAUGUUUCUAUACCAUGGUAUAAAAUAUUUUUAAGUAUCUUAUUGUUUGAUAAAUUAAUUAACUAAUUAACUCAAAUUAUGCAAAUUAUUUACUUUAAUAUAACAAGAAUUAAAAUAAAAAAUAUUGUAAAAGUUAACCAUAAUAUUAUAUUAUAUUUAUUGAACACGUCAGUAUUAUGAAAUAAAAUCAACUACUUUUUUCAAAUUCAAGGAUUUUGGUUGAUUUUAAUAUUAUUUUUUGUAGAUUAGUACACAUAUAUUUUUAAGUUGUAUACAAUUAAUAAUUACAAUUUAAAACAGUUUUAAUGUAUAUAUCUACAUGAUUUUUACAUAUUAUUCAUUGUUCAAAGUAAUAUUGUAUGUUCCUUUCUUCGCGCUUCCCUCCCAAUAAUAUGAUGUCAGCCACCCAUCUAUAAUUAUUUUAUCACUUUUCUUCAACCCCUAUUACUCUUCUUUUCAUAGUUUCAUUAUCUCAUUUAUUUUCAUGCCUACUCCAUUCUAAAAAUGUAUUAUUUAUUUUAAUUUCUUUUUUUCUGUGAAUUUUAUUAAUAAUUAUAAACUAUAUAUAUUUUUAUUAUAACUAUCUCCUAGAUUGAAUAUUUGAAAAUAAAGUGGAAAUUUCUUCAAAA